Molecule: ribosomal RNA, 237 nt
Filed under: uncultured bacterium
Lineage: Bacteria
Description: partial 16S ribosomal RNA
Rfam family: Bacterial small subunit ribosomal RNA
Source: RNAcentral
UACGGGGGGGUAAGCGUUGUUCGGAUUUACUGGGCGUAAAGGGCGCGUAGGCGGUCGUGACAAGUCACUUGUGAAAUCUCCGGGCUUAACUCGGAAAGGUCAGCCGAUACUGCGGGCUAGAGUGCAGAAGGGCAACUGGAAUUCCCAGUGUAGCGGUGAAAUGCGUAGAUAUUGGGAAGAACACCGGAGGCGAAGGCGGGUUGCUGGCCGACACUGACGCUGAGGCGCGAAAGCCAG